GUAUGUGUUCCAAAAUUAUGAGAAACCCCUGUAAUUCUGAUAUGACUUGGUAUAUGUUUUGAGGAAUAAAUAUAAUUGUUAUGUUAAAUUGUUGUGUACCACAGAAGUAACCAAAUUUUCUUAUCAAUUUUGUCUUUGAUUGUGACUGCCCUAAGACUUCUUGUCAUCCAUAGACAAUUGUUUUCUUAUUUUGAUCCUCCUUCAAAAGACAGUUUAUAAUUAGCGAUACCACUCUCAUGAGUACUCCUAAACAUAGUCUGUGAUAAUUUUGGAAAGUGUGCUAUUAAAAUAAAGAGGAAAGAACUUCCAAGAUUCUCUUGGAAAACGAAUGUGUUCACAAAUGUCGAGCAAAACAGGAAUUAACUGCAUAGGCUAAACUAAUAAAAGGCCAAAGUAAUCUUUUUAUGACUUUUUGUUUAAAACAUUGCUGAUCCUUUCUGUUUUGGUUUUCAGAGUCAAGAAAACUUUUUUCUUUUUAGCUAUUUAUGGCUUUUAGCAGUUAAGUAAAGUAUACUCCUAUAAAUAAAUUUUGGAGCAUAUCUCUCUCCACCUGAUUUUUCCAGAAUUUGGAAACUAUUUGUGAGUAUUUGUAUGAUGAUAUAGUUAUUUGCAAAAGUACAAUAAGAAUCUGUUUUCUUUUGUAAUAGGACACAAUUGGAGAAAUUGUUUUUGUUUUUUUUCUUACCAAGGCUUUGACUGGAAUGGCAUGCUUUCACAUAUAAACAUCCUGCUCUAAGGAAUCAAAGUUGACUUAUAGAGCUAAUAAAAGCCCCUUGGAAAAACUAGCUUCAUACCUUGCCUAUGCAUUCCCUGUACAGGAUUCUUGACCUGUGGCUAGAGGUGAACACUUAACCAUGAGUAGAAGCUCUGGAGAUGAAAAAGUAUUAGAAAAACACAGAUAACAAAGAAUCAACAGAGCGCUUGGAUAUUUAUGUUCAUGGCAUGUGUAUAUAUUUUACAUGUAUCAAGAUUAAGACAAAAAGGUUGCCCCCUUCAGCAUGUCGAGUCAUGUGAGGGUGGCUACCCUCUGGGGCUGCAGCUUUCUCACUUUGGAAGACUUAUGAGUUUUUUCCUGUGCCCUGUACAGUGAAGAACAAAGAAACUAGUGACAGUUUGAUGAGAAACAGAUAUACACAUAGCUUCAAAGAAUCUCUCCAUAAAGUACUUAUUCAUUAUAAAAGGAAAAAAAUAAUUUCAUAGGGAAGAAACCUGGUGGAUGACAUCUUAAUCAAGUGAUCAAAGUUACCACCACGACUAAUGACACAAACCAACAUUAUAUGCCUCCUGAUGUGAUGUGACAUGCUAGAAAGAAAACAACAUCAUUUAUACGGUAUUUCUGCCAGAGAAACAUAAUCUGCAUUUUCAUGUUAAAGUGAAGUCGAUUAUACAUAGCAUUGUUAAAAGUGAUUUUGGAGUUUUUCUCUUCAUACAAUUUUAAGGUUGUAAAGUUGACAGUCUGUUUUUAAUUCACUUUUACAAGUUGUAAAUGUUUUGCAAAUAUGUUUCUUUCCUGUAAGAUUUAUUUCUUAGCUGGUUAACCUAGACAAAUUGAUUUCCCAGAGGUUACUUUGUUUAAUGUUAUGGUACCUAUACACUAAAUAAUCUAUAAGGAUAAGACAAUAUACUUUGAUGUUUAUUUUACAUAUUUAUAAACAUUUUUGACUCAAAUUAUGAAAAAGUUUUUCCUAAAAUUUUCUAGUGGAUGUGCUGUCUCUUAACAUUCUCCUUAGCUGUCAAUUGAUUUCCUUGUUUAACUAUUUUAAAGUUCUUUAUAAUAGUUGUUAUUCAUAAAUCAAGUGCUUUUACUCUUACAAUAAAAAUAUACACUUAUAUUUCCACUCACAAUGCACUUAAAGAAAACUUUCAGUCCUGGUUACAUUUAAAAUAGUUACCUACAUUUAUUUUAUAUUGACAAUAUCUGAAUCAAAAACCCACUGAUAGCAUCUACUAAAGCUGAACAUUCACACAUUGCAUGAAAUAGGAAAGGAGGGCUUAUGUCCUCCAAUAGGUGUGUUCAUAGCAGUUUAGUAUAAAAUCCCCAAACUGCCUAUCAACAGUAGUGUCUCUCAAUAGGAGAAUGUAUAAGGACAUUUUAGUAUACUUAUACAAUCAAGCAGUGGAAAAAAAUAAACUAUUGCUUUAUGCACCAACAUGGAUAAAUAUCACAGACCUAUUGAUAAAUGAAAGAAGUCAGAAAUGAAAAGGCUGAAAAUUGUAUGAGCCAUGUAUGUGAAAAUCAAGAACAGACAAAACCAAUCUACAGUGACAGAUGUCAGAAUGAUGGUUACCUUUAGAGUUUAUUGAGUGCAAGAAUAUGGGUGUAGCCUUCUGGGAUGUUGAAAAUAUUCUCUAUGUUGAUUUGGGUAUGGCUUAAAAGGAUUUAUGCAUGUCUAGAAAGUUAUCAAGCUGUGCAAUUAAGACCUAUGUAUUUUAUUAUAUGUAAUCUAUACCA
Molecule: long non-coding RNA, 2452 nt
Filed under: Homo sapiens (human)
Lineage: Eukaryota; Metazoa; Chordata; Mammalia; Primates; Hominidae
Description: HSALNT0346882
Source: RNAcentral